This 465-nucleotide ribosomal RNA is filed under the name uncultured beta proteobacterium. Its description in RNAcentral is "bacterial SSU rRNA". It matches the Rfam family "Bacterial small subunit ribosomal RNA", at positions 338 to 795 of the family's 1533-position model. Lineage: Bacteria; Pseudomonadati; Pseudomonadota; Betaproteobacteria. The record is from RNAcentral.
CCUACGGGUGGCAGCAGUGGGGAAUUUUGGACAAUGGGGGCAACCCUGAUCCAGCCAUUCCGCGUGAGUGAAGAAGGCCUUCGGGUUGUAAAGCUCUUUUGUCAGGGACGAAACGGUUACGACUAAUACUCGUGACUACUGACGGUACCUGAAGAAUAAGCACCGGCUAACUACGUGCCAGCAGCCGCGGUAAUACGUAGGGUGCAAGCGUUAAUCGGAAUUACUGGGCGUAAAGCGUGCGCAGGCGGUUUUGUAAGCCAGAUGUGAAAUCCCCGGGCUUAACCUGGGAAUGGCAUUUGGGACUGCAAGGCUAGAGUACGGCAGAGGAGACUAGAAUUCCUGGUGUAGCAGUGAAAUGCGUAGAUAUCAGGAGGAAUACCGAUGGCGAAGGCAGGUCUCUGGGCUGAUACUGACGCUCAUGCACGAAAGCGUGGGGAGCAAACAGGAUUAGAUACCCCAGUAGUC